RNAcentral lists this ribosomal RNA (709 nucleotides) under Microbacterium sp. I12A-00896. Its description in RNAcentral is "bacterial SSU rRNA". It matches the Rfam family "Bacterial small subunit ribosomal RNA", at positions 85 to 808 of the family's 1533-position model. Lineage: Bacteria; Bacillati; Actinomycetota; Actinomycetes; Micrococcales; Microbacteriaceae. The record is from RNAcentral.
CUUUGGAUCAGUGGCGAACGGGUGAGUAACACGUGAGCAACCUGCCCCUGACUCUGGGAUAAGCGCUGGAAACGGCGUCUAAUACUGGAUAUGUGACGUGACCGCAUGGUCUGCGUCUGGAAAGAAUUUCGGUUGGGGAUGGGCUCGCGGCCUAUCAGCUUGUUGGUGAGGUAAUGGCUCACCAAGGCGUCGACGGGUAGCCGGCCUGAGAGGGUGACCGGCCACACUGGGACUGAGACACGGCCCAGACUCCUACGGGAGGCAGCAGUGGGGAAUAUUGCACAAUGGGCGCAAGCCUGAUGCAGCAACGCCGCGUGAGGGAUGACGGCCUUCGGGUUGUAAACCUCUUUUAGCAGGGAAGAAGCGAAAGUGACGGUACCUGCAGAAAAAGCGCCGGCUAACUACGUGCCAGCAGCCGCGGUAAUACGUAGGGCGCAAGCGUUAUCCGGAAUUAUUGGGCGUAAAGAGCUCGUAGGCGGUUUGUCGCGUCUGCUGUGAAAUCCGGAGGCUCAACCUCCGGCCUGCAGUGGGUACGGGCAGACUAGAGUGCGGUAGGGGAGAUUGGAAUUCCUGGUGUAGCGGUGGAAUGCGCAGAUAUCAGGAGGAACACCGAUGGCGAAGGCAGAUCUCUGGGCCGUAACUGACGCUGAGGAGCGAAAGGGUGGGGAGCAAACAGGCUUAGAUACCCUGGUAGUCCACCCCGUAAACG